UCUACACCUAAGAUUGGCUGUGCGGGCAUUUCAAGAUAACCGAAUCGAUCAGUCCCACUAUAAAGUGAUUGCUGAAGGUUUUUCGCUUGACCUAUUCUCUCUUUGAAGAUCCGAUGACAUCUGCCUUGAUCAAGACUUUGGCGGUCACAACCCAAAACCUCAUGGCUUCUUCACAUUCACAUAAAUCGACACCGGGAUGUUUGGAAGUUACUUAUGGACGAUAGAGAACGCUGCUCUCCUAUCACUUAUCCGACCGCAUUCCAGAAACGGAACCGAAGAACGAGAAAUGUACAGUAUGUCGUUCUUUCUACAUUACGGGUUCCUCCUAUGGUUUUCGAAGGACUGCAUUAAUAAGGCUAUAGGAUCUCAGAAGGGCGC
Molecule: long non-coding RNA, 378 nt
Organism: Photinus pyralis (common eastern firefly)
Lineage: Eukaryota; Metazoa; Arthropoda; Insecta; Coleoptera; Lampyridae
Exons: 4
Source: RefSeq, a predicted model, not a curated record